This 403-nucleotide ribosomal RNA is filed under the name uncultured bacterium. Its description in RNAcentral is "bacterial SSU rRNA". It matches the Rfam family "Bacterial small subunit ribosomal RNA", at positions 355 to 774 of the family's 1533-position model. The record is from RNAcentral.
UAGGGAAUAUUGCAAAAUGGGCGAAAGCCCGAUGCAGCAACGCCGCGUGGGCGAUGAAGGCCUUCGGGUCGUAAAGCCCUUUUUGAGGGGAUGAGGAAGGACAGUACCCUCAGAAUAAGCCUCGGCUAACUACGUGCCAGCAGCCGCGGUAAAACGUAGGAGGCGAGCGUUAUCCGGAUUUACUGGGCGUAAAGCGCGUGCAGGCGGAUUGGAGAGUUGGAUGUGAAAGCUCCCGGCUUAACUGGGAGAGGUCGUUCAAUACUUCCAGUCUUGAGUGCAGUAGAGGGAAGUGGAAUUCCGGGUGUGGUGGUGAAAUGCGUAGAUAUCCGGAGGAACACCAGUGGCGAAAGCGGCUUCCUGGACUGUAACUGACGCUCAGACGCGAAAGCUAGGGUAGCAAACG